UACGUAGGGUGCAAGCGUUGUCCGGAAUUAUUGGGCGUAAAGAGCUCGUAGGCGGCUUGUCACGUCGGAUGUGAAAACUCGGGGCUCAACCCCGAGCCUGCAUUCGAUACGGGCUAGCUAGAGUGUUGCAGGGGAGACUGGAAUUCCUGGUGUAGCGGUGAAAUGCGCAGAUAUCAGGAGGAACACCGGUGGCGAAGGCGGGUCUCUGGGCCGAUACUGACGCUGAGGAGCGAAAGCGUGGGGAGCGAACAGG
RNAcentral lists this ribosomal RNA (253 nucleotides) under uncultured bacterium. Its description in RNAcentral is "partial 16S ribosomal RNA". It matches the Rfam family "Bacterial small subunit ribosomal RNA", at positions 524 to 776 of the family's 1533-position model. The record is from RNAcentral.